CAGCAGCCACGGGAAUACGAAGGGGGCUAGCGUUGUCCGGAAUUAUUGGGCGUAAAGGGCUCGCAGGCGGUUUCUUAAGUCUGAUGUGAAAGCCCCCGGCUCAACCGGGGAGGGUCAUUGGAAACUGGGAAACUUGAGUGCAGAAGAGGAGAGUGGAAUUCCACGUGUAGCGGUGAAAUGCGUAGAGAUGUGGAGGAACACCAGUGGCGAAGGCGGCUCACUGGUCCAUUACUGACGCUGAGGUGCGAAAGCGUGGGGAGCAAACAGGAUUAGAGACCCCAGUAGUCCCUGUCUCUUAUAC
Molecule: ribosomal RNA, 301 nt
Filed under: uncultured bacterium
Lineage: Bacteria
Description: partial 16S ribosomal RNA
Rfam family: Bacterial small subunit ribosomal RNA
Source: RNAcentral